UAUAAUGGGUCAGCGACUUAUAUUCUGUAGCAAGGUUAACCGAAUAGGGGAGCCGGAGGGAAACCGAGUCUUAAUUGGGCGUUAAGUUGCAGGGUAUAGACCCGAAACCCGGUGAUCUAGCCAUGGGCAGGUUGAAGGUUGGGUAACACUAACUGGAGGACCGAACCGACUAAUGUUGAAAAAUUAGCGGAUGACCUGUGGCUGGGGGUGAAAGGCCAAUCAAACCGGGAGAUAGCUGGUUCUCCCCGAAAGCUAUUUAGGUAGCGCCUCGUGAAUUCAUCUCCGGGGGUAGAGCACUGUUUCGGCUAGGGGGCCAUCCCGGCUUACCAACCCGAUGCAAACUGCGAAUACCGGAGAAUGUUAUCACGGGAGACACACGGCGGGUGCUAACGUCCGUCGUGAAGAGGGAAACAACCCAGACCGCCAGCUAAGGUCCCAAAGUCAUGGUUAAGUGGGAAACGAUGUGGGAAGGCCCAGACAGCCAGGAUGUUGGCUUAGAAGCAGCCAUCAUUUAAAGAAAGCGUAAUAGCUCACUGGUCGAGUCGGCCUGCGCGGAAGAUGUAACGGGGCUAAACCAUGCACCGAAGCUGCGGCAGCGACACUGUGUGUUGUUGGGUAGGGGAGCGUUCUGUAAGCCUGUGAAGGUGUGUCGUGAGGCAUGCUGGAGGUAUCAGAAGUGCGAAUGCUGACAUAAGUAACGAUAAAGCGGGUGAAAAGCCCGCUCGCCGGAAGACCAAGGGUUCCUGUCCAACGUUAAUCGGGGCAGGGUGAGUCGACCCCUAAGGCGAGGCCGAAAGGCGUAGUCGAUGGGAAACGGGUUAAUAUUCCCGUACUUGGUGUUACUGCGAAGGGGGGACGGAGAAGGCUAUGUUGGCCGGGCGACGGUUGUCCCGGUUUAAGCGUGUAGGUGUGUGUUCCAGGUAAAUCCGGUUCACUUUAACACUGAGGCGUGACGACGAGGCACUACGGUGCUGAAGCAACAAAUGCCCUGCUUCCAGGAAAAGCCUCUAAGCAUCAGGUAACAUCAAAUCGUACCCCAAACCGACACAGGUGGUCAGGUAGAGAAUACCAAGGCGCUUGAGAGAACUCGGGUGAAGGAACUAGGCAAAAUGGUGCCGUAACUUCGGGAGAAGGCACGCUGACACGUAGGUGAAGUGAUUUACUCAUGGAGCUGAAGUCAGUCGAAGAUACCAGCUGGCUGCAACUGUUUAUUAAAAACACAGCACUGUGCAAACACGAAAGUGGACGUAUACGGUGUGACGCCUGCCCGGUGCCGGAAGGUUAAUUGAUGGGGUCAGCGCAAGCGAAGCUCCUGAUCGAAGCCCCGGUAAACGGCGGCCGUAACUAUAACGGUCCUAAGGUAGCGAAAUUCCUUGUCGGGUAAGUUCCGACCUGCACGAAUGGCGUAAUGAUGGCCAGGCUGUCUCCACCCGAGACUCAGUGAAAUUGAACUCGCUGUGAAGAUGCAGUGUACCCGCGGCAAGACGGAAAGACCCCGUGAACCUUUACUAUAGCUUGACACUGAACAUUGAGCCUUGAUGUGUAGGAUAGGUGGGAGGCUUUGAAGUGUGGACGCCAGUCUGCAUGGAGCCGACCUUGAAAUACCACCCUUUAAUGUUUGAUGUUCUAACGUGGACCCGUUACCCGGGUUGCGGACAGUGUCUGGUGGGUAGUUUGACUGGGGCGGUCUCCUCCUAAAGAGUAACGGAGGAGCACGAAGGUUGGCUAAUCCUGGUCGGACAUCAGGAGGUUAGUGCAAUGGCAUAAGCCAGCUUGACUGCGAGCGUGACGGCGCGAGCAGGUGCGAAAGCAGGUCAUAGUGAUCCGGUGGUUCUGAAUGGAAGGGCCAUCGCUCAACGGAUAAAAGGUACUCCGGGGAUAACAGGCUGAUACCGCCCAAGAGUUCAUAUCGACGGCGGUGUUUGGCACCUCGAUGUCGGCUCAUCACAUCCUGGGGCUGAAGUAGGUCCCAAGGGUAUGGCUGUUCGCCAUUUAAAGUGGUACGCGAGCUGGGUUUAGAACGUCGUGAGACAGUUCGGUCCCUAUCUGCCGUGGGCGCUGGAGAACUGAGGGGGGCUGCUCCUAGUACGAGAGGACCGGAGUGGACGCAUCACUGGUGUUCGGGUUGUCAUGCCAAUGGCACUGCCCGGUAGCUAAAUGCGGAAGAGAUAAGUGCUGAAAGCAUCUAAGCACGAAACUUGCCCCGAG
This 2208-nucleotide ribosomal RNA is filed under the name Salmonella enterica subsp. enterica serovar Enteritidis. RNAcentral describes it as "partial 23S ribosomal RNA". It matches the Rfam family "Bacterial large subunit ribosomal RNA", at positions 611 to 2803 of the family's 2925-position model. The record is from RNAcentral. Lineage: Bacteria; Pseudomonadati; Pseudomonadota; Gammaproteobacteria; Enterobacterales; Enterobacteriaceae.